This 273-nucleotide ribosomal RNA is filed under the name Triticum aestivum (bread wheat). RNAcentral's name for it is "partial small subunit ribosomal RNA". The record is from RNAcentral. Lineage: Eukaryota; Viridiplantae; Streptophyta; Magnoliopsida; Poales; Poaceae.
AUGUUGGUAUGUAGCAUCCUCGGGCCGUCGGAGCAUCAUCGGUGUUGCAAUGGAGCAUCCCGGAGCGUUGCCGGUGUUGCGAUGGAGCACCGCCAGGCUGUCGAAGCGUCUUUGGUGUUGCGAUGGAGCAUCGCCGGGCCGCCGAAGCAUCAACGCUACUUCAUGGGGAUGGUCGCAGUAGCGUUGUUACGGCAACCCGGUGCUGCAACCAUGAGCUCGCCAGCGCUGCAGCCGUGGCCGUUGUGUGGUGAGCUUGUAGGCGUUUUACUCUGA